This 112-nucleotide non-coding RNA is filed under the name Lactimicrobium massiliense. Its description in RNAcentral is "FMN riboswitch (RFN element)". It matches the Rfam family "FMN riboswitch aptamer (RFN element)", at positions 8 to 131 of the family's 138-position model. From Rfam's summary of the family: The RFN element is a highly conserved domain that is found frequently in the 5'-untranslated regions of prokaryotic mRNAs that encode for flavin mononucleotide (FMN) biosynthesis and transport proteins. The record is from RNAcentral. Lineage: Bacteria; Bacillati; Bacillota; Erysipelotrichia; Erysipelotrichales; Erysipelotrichaceae.
CUCAGGGCAGGGUGAAAUUCCUGACCGGCGGUAAACCCCGCGACUUCCUGCUGAGGCAGGAACCGAAUCGGUGAAAUUCCGAUGGCGACAGUAAAGUCUGGAUGAAAGAGUG